Molecule: non-coding RNA, 64 nt
Filed under: Haladaptatus cibarius D43
Lineage: Archaea; Methanobacteriati; Methanobacteriota; Halobacteria; Halobacteriales; Haladaptataceae
Description: eL15-Euryarchaeota ribosomal protein leader
Rfam family: eL15-Euryarchaeota ribosomal protein leader
Source: RNAcentral
CCUGCAAUCGCAGGACGGAAUGUGGCAGGCGGGAUUCGUAGAAUCCUGCCCGCUGAACCACUCA